AGCCCAGAGCCUGAAUCAGUGUGUGUGUUAGUGGAAGCGUCUGGAAAGGCGCGCGAUACAGGGUGACAGCCCCGUACACAAAAAUGCACAUAUUGUGAGCUCGAUGAGUAGGGCGGGACACGUGGUAUCCUGUCUGAAUAUGGGGGGACCAUCCUCCAAGGCUAAAUACUCCUGACUGACCGAUAGUGAACCAGUACCGUGAGGGAAAGGCGAAAAGAACCCCGGCGAGGGGAGUGAAAAAGAACCUGAAACCGUGUACGUACAAGCAGUGGGAGCCUCUUUUAUGGGGUGACUGCGUACCUUUUGUAUAAUGGGUCAGCGACUUAUAUUCUGUAGCAAGGUUAACCGAAUAGGGGAGCCGAAGGGAAACCGAGUCUUAACUGGGCGUUAAGUUGCAGGGUAUAGACCCGAAACCCGGUGAUCUAGCCAUGGGCAGGUUGAAGGUUGGGUAACACUAACUGGAGGACCGAACCGACUAAUGUUGAAAAAUUAGCGGAUGACUUGUGGCUGGGGGUGAAAGGCCAAUCAAACCGGGAGAUAGCUGGUUCUCCCCGAAAGCUAUUUAGGUAGCGCCUCGUGAAUUCAUCUCCGGGGGUAGAGCACUGUUUCGGCAAGGGGGUCAUCCCGACUUACCAACCCGAUGCAAACUGCGAAUACCGGAGAAUGUUAUCACGGGAGACACACGGCGGGUGCUAACGUCCGUCGUGAAGAGGGAAACAACCCAGACCGCCAGCUAAGGUCCCAAAGUCAUGGUUAAGUGGGAAACGAUGUGGGAAGGCCCAGACAGCCAGGAUGUUGGCUUAGAAGCAGCCAUCAUUUAAAGAAAGCGUAAUAGCUCACUGGUCGAGUCGGCCUGCGCGGAAGAUGUAACGGGGCUAAACCAUGCACCGAAGCUGCGGCAGCGACGCUUAUGCGUUGUUGGGUAGGGGAGCGUUCUGUAAGCCUGUGAAGGUGUGCUGUGAGGCAUGCUGGAGGUAUCAGAAGUGCGAAUGCUGACAUAAGUAACGAUAAAGCGGGUGAAAAGCCCGCUCGCCGGAAGACCAAGGGUUCCUGUCCAACGUUAAUCGGGGCAGGGUGAGUCGACCCCUAAGGCGAGGCCGAAAGGCGUAGUCGAUGGGAAACAGGUUAAUAUUCCUGUACUUGGUGUUACUGCGAAGGGGGGACGGAGAAGGCUAUGUUGGCCGGGCGACGGUUGUCCCGGUUUAAGCGUGUAGGCUGGUUUUCCAGGCAAAUCCGGAAAAUCAAGGCUGAGGCGUGAUGACGAGGCACUACGGUGCUGAAGCAACAAAUGCCCUGCUUCCAGGAAAAGCCUCUAAGCAUCAGGUAACAUCAAAUCGUACCCCAAACCGACACAGGUGGUCAGGUAGAGAAUACCAAGGCGCUUGAGAGAACUCGGGUGAAGGAACUAGGCAAAAUGGUGCCGUAACUUCGGGAGAAGGCACGCUGAUAUGUAGGUGAAGUCCCUCGCGGAUGGAGCUGAAAUCAGUCGAAGAUACCAGCUGGCUGCAACUGUUUAUUAAAAACACAGCACUGUGCAAACACGAAAGUGGACGUAUACGGUGUGACGCCUGCCCGGUGCCGGAAGGUUAAUUGAUGGGGUUAGCGGUAACGCGAAGCUCUUGAUCGAAGCCCCGGUAAACGGCGGCCGUAACAAUAACGGUCCUAAGGUAGCGAAAUUCCUUGUCGGGUAAGUUCCGACCUGCACGAAUGGAGUAACGACUUCCCUACUGUCUCCACCAUGAACUCGGUGAAAUUGCAUUACGAGUAAAGAUGCUCGUUACGCGCAGCAGGACGGAAAGACCCCGAGACCUUUACUAUAGUUUGGUAUUGGUGUUCGGUGCGGCUUGUGUAGGAUAGGUGGGAGACUGUGAAGCGGACACGCCAGUGUUCGUGGAGUCGUUGUUGAAAUACCACUCUGGUCGCUCUGGAUAUCUAACUUCGGCCCGUGAUCCGGGUCAGGGACAGUGCCUGAUGGGUAGUUUAACUGGGGCGGUUGCCUCCUAAAGAGUAACGGAGGCGCCCAAAGGUUCCCUCAGCCUGGUUGGCAAUCAGGUGUUGAGUGCAAGUGCACAAGGGAGCUUGACUGUGAGAGUGACGGCUCGAGCAGGGACGAAAGUCGGGACUAGUGAUCCGGCGGUACAUUGUGGAAUGGCCGUCGCUCAACGGAUAAAAGGUACCUCGGGGAUAACAGGCUGAUCUUGCCCAAGAGUCCAUAUCGACGGCAUGGUUUGGCACCUCGAUGUCGGCUCGUCGCAUCCUGGGGCUGGAGUCGGUCCCAAGGGUUGGGCUGUUCGCCCAUUAAAGCGGCACGCGA
This 2314-nucleotide ribosomal RNA is filed under the name mixed sample. RNAcentral describes it as "bacterial LSU rRNA". It matches the Rfam family "Bacterial large subunit ribosomal RNA", at positions 296 to 2603 of the family's 2925-position model. The record is from RNAcentral.